This 678-nucleotide ribosomal RNA is filed under the name Escherichia coli. RNAcentral's name for it is "partial 23S ribosomal RNA". It matches the Rfam family "Bacterial large subunit ribosomal RNA", at positions 1088 to 1767 of the family's 2925-position model. Lineage: Bacteria; Pseudomonadati; Pseudomonadota; Gammaproteobacteria; Enterobacterales; Enterobacteriaceae. The record is from RNAcentral.
GACAGCCAGGAUGUUGGCUUAGAAGCAGCCAUCAUUUAAAGAAAGCGUAAUAGCUCACUGGUCGAGUCGGCCUGCGCGGAAGAUGUAACGGGGCUAAACCAUGCACCGAAGCUGCGGCAGCGACGCUGAUGCGUUGUUGGGUAGGGGAGCGUUCUGUAAGCCUGCGAAGGUGUGCUGUGAGGCAUGCUGGAGGUAUCAGAAGUGCGAAUGCUGACAUAAGUAACGAUAAAGCGGGUGAAAAGCCCGCUCGCCGGAAGACCAAGGGUUCCUGUCCAACGUUAAUCGGGGCAGGGUGAGUCGACCCCUAAGGCGAGGCCGAAAGGCGUAGUCGAUGGGAAACAGGUUAAUAUUCCUGUACUUGGUGUUACUGCGAAGGGGGGACGGAGAAGGCUAUGUUGGCCGGGCGACGGUUGUCCCGGUUUAAGCGUGUAGGCUGGUUUUCCAGGCAAAUCCGGAAAAUCAAGGCUGAGGCGUGAUGACGAGGCACUACGGUGCUGAAGCAACAAAUGCCCUGCUUCCAGGAAAAGCCUCUAAGCAUCAGGUAACAUCAAAUCGUACCCCAAACCGACACAGGUGGUCAGGUAGAGAAUACCAAGGCGCUUGAGAGAACUCGGGUGAAGGAACUAGGCAAAAUGGUGCCGUAACUUCGGGAGAAGGCACGCUGAUAUGUAGGUGAAG